This 436-nucleotide ribosomal RNA is filed under the name Priestia megaterium. Its description in RNAcentral is "bacterial SSU rRNA". It matches the Rfam family "Bacterial small subunit ribosomal RNA", at positions 85 to 507 of the family's 1533-position model. Lineage: Bacteria; Bacillati; Bacillota; Bacilli; Caryophanales; Bacillaceae. The record is from RNAcentral.
UAUGACGUUAGCGGCGGACGGGUGAGUAACACGUGGGCAACCUGCCUGUAAGACUGGGAUAACUUCGGGAAACCGAAGCUAAUACCGGAUAGGAUCUUCUCCUUCAUGGGAGAUGAUUGAAAGAUGGUUUCGGCUAUCACUUACAGAUGGGCCCGCGGUGCAUUAGCUAGUUGGUGAGGUAACGGCUCACCAAGGCAACGAUGCAUAGCCGACCUGAGAGGGUGAUCGGCCACACUGGGACUGAGACACGGCCCAGACUCCUACGGGAGGCAGCAGUAGGGAAUCUUCCGCAAUGGACGAAAGUCUGACGGAGCAACGCCGCGUGAGUGAUGAAGGCUUUCGGGUCGUAAAACUCUGUUGUUAGGGAAGAACAAGUACAAGAGUAACUGCUUGUACCUUGACGGUACCUAACCAGAAAGCCACGGCUAACUACGUG